RNAcentral lists this ribosomal RNA (433 nucleotides) under uncultured bacterium. Its description in RNAcentral is "partial 16S ribosomal RNA". It matches the Rfam family "Bacterial small subunit ribosomal RNA", at positions 29 to 507 of the family's 1533-position model. The record is from RNAcentral.
AACGAACGCUGGCGGCAUGCCUAACACAUGCAAGUCGAACGAGACCUUCGGGUCUAGUGGCGCACGGGUGCGUAACGCGUGGGAACCUGCCCUUAGGUUCGGAAUAACUCCCCGAAAGGGGUGCUAAUACCGGAUAAUGUCUUCGGACCAAAGAUUUAUCGCCUUUGGAUGGGCCCGCGUUGGAUUAGCUAGUUGGUAGGGUAAAAGCCUACCAAGGCGACGAUCCAUAGCUGGUCUGAGAGGAUGAUCAGCCACACUGGGACUGAGACACGGCCCAGACUCCUACGGGAGGCAGCAGUGGGGAAUAUUGGACAAUGGGCGAAAGCCUGAUCCAGCAAUGCCGCGUGAGUUAUUAAGGCCUUAGGGUUGUAAAGCUCUUUUACCCGGGAUGAUAAUGACAGUACCGGGAGAAUAAGCUCCGGCUAACUCCGUG